Molecule: ribosomal RNA, 474 nt
Filed under: uncultured organism
Description: partial 16S ribosomal RNA
Rfam family: Bacterial small subunit ribosomal RNA
Source: RNAcentral
GUACACUCCUACGGGAGGCAGCAGUAGGGAAUCUUCCACAAUGGGUGCAAACCUGAUGGAGCAAUGCCGCGUGAGUGAAGAAGGUCUUCGGAUCGUAAAGCUCUGUUGUUAGAGAAGAACACGUGCUAGGUAACUACUAGCGCCUUGACGGUAUCUAACCAGAAAGUCACGGCUAACUACGUGCCAGCAGCCGCGGUAAUACGUAGGUGACAAGCGUUGUCCGGAUUUAUUGGGCGUAAAGGGAGCGCAGGCGGUCUGUUUAGUCUAAUGUGAAAGCCCACGGCUUAACCGUGGAACGGCAUUGGAAACUGACAGACUUGAAUGUAGAAGAGGAAAAUGGAAUUCCAAGUGUAGCGGUGGAAUGCGUAGAUAUUUGGAGGAACACCAGUGGCGAAGGCGAUUUUCUGGUCUAACAUUGACGCUGAGGCUCGAAAGCGUGGGGAGCGAACAGGAUUAGAUACCCGAGUAGUCCCA